Molecule: long non-coding RNA, 1034 nt
Organism: Nematostella vectensis (starlet sea anemone)
Lineage: Eukaryota; Metazoa; Cnidaria; Anthozoa; Actiniaria; Edwardsiidae
Exons: 2
Source: RefSeq, a predicted model, not a curated record
UAGCGAUGAAAAACAAAGGGAAAGCGUGAAUUCUAAAGACAAUAGCAAAAUAUCUGACGCGCUAUUUUGCUAAGUUCGAUAAAACAAUGCAAUUAGCACCAUUGUUACGAUGGUGCUCAGUUACAUCCAGAUUGUGAUUUAGAAAGAACAGUAAAACAAAACAAUCCUUUGCCACCUGAACGCAACGUCAUACGUCAGCAGCAUGAAACGCACCAACCCUUACGGCAACGAGAACAAUUAUCACAGUGGUAAGGUUGCACACAACACCAAGAAAAACAUUGACUUGACAAUAUGAACGGAGCAUGGAACGUACAUGUGUGAUAAAAUGAUAAUCAUUUAUCAUCAGCAACACAUUGUUUCAUCGUCACAAAAUGAGCUUUAUCAAUUUUCUUUAAUUCUUUAUUUUAGGCCCUCCAAUCCCCGCAAAAGUCAGAGAAGACAGAGGACCUUUUUUACGAAAAAACAAACUGUCAUCCUAGAGGAAGCGUUCCAGUACGAGCGAUAUCCUGGCAUCAAGAUCCGGGAAAAACUUGCCGGCGGGAACUUGACAUAGACGAGUCGAGAAUCCAGGUUUGGUUUGAAAAUCGUCGCUCUCGUCAAAACGGACAGAAAAAGAAGACAGAAGUUCGCUCAGUACAAUCAUCUGUCGCAUCUUCAGCAUCGAUCCGUCCCAUCCACAAAUCAUCCGAGUCGAGUCAUGUCCAUCCAGCUCCUCUGCUUACUUACAGCAACACUAAGCCGCUAUCACACGUGGACUGUACUGCGCCCGCGCCAGUCUUCCCGUCAUACUUCACAAGCCCAAGACUCGCCACAGGUAUCCCGAGUCCGUGGAUGUGCGCACCUUCCAGUCAAACUCGCACUGCUGACGAGUUAGCCGCCGCAAUAGGACUGAUGGGCGUAUAUGGAUCAAUACCUUACAGAUUCGACUAACAUCUUUAACAUAUGUUUAUAGCCUUGUGCCUAAGUUAUUACGAAUAUCUGUUGUAUAUUUUAGAUUGAAGAUAUAAAAUAAAGUACAUUUUGUCAAUGAAAAA